CCUACGGGUGGCAGCAGUAGGGAAUAUUGCUCAAUGGGGGAAACCCUGAAGCAGCAACGCCGCGUGGAGGAUGAAGGUUUUCGGAUUGUAAACUCCUUUUGUUGGAGAAGAUAAUAACGGUAUCUAACGAAUAAGCACCGGCUAACUCCGUGCCAGCAGCCUCGGUAAUACGGAGGGUGCAAGCGUUACUCGGACUCACUGGGCGUAACGAGCGCGUAGGCGGGAUAGCAAGUCAGAUGUGAAAUCCUAGGGCUUAACCCUAGAACUGCAUUUGAAACUGUUAUUCUAGAGGAUGGGAGAGGUAGGUGGAAUUCUUGGUGUAGGGGUAAAAUCCGUAGAGAUCAAGAGGAAUACUCAUUGCGAAGGCGACCUGCUAGAACAUAACUGACGCUGAUGCGCGAAAGCGUGGGGAGCAAACAGGAUUAGAUACCCUUGUAGUC
RNAcentral lists this ribosomal RNA (440 nucleotides) under uncultured bacterium. RNAcentral's name for it is "partial 16S ribosomal RNA". It matches the Rfam family "Bacterial small subunit ribosomal RNA", at positions 338 to 795 of the family's 1533-position model. The record is from RNAcentral.